RNAcentral lists this ribosomal RNA (468 nucleotides) under uncultured bacterium. RNAcentral describes it as "partial 16S ribosomal RNA". It matches the Rfam family "Bacterial small subunit ribosomal RNA", at positions 28 to 507 of the family's 1533-position model. The record is from RNAcentral.
GACGAACGCUGGCGGCGUGCUUAACACAUGCAAGUCGAACGGAAAGGCCCUGCUUUUGUGGGGUGCUCGAGUGGCGAACGGGUGAGUAACACGUGAGUAACCUGCCCUUGACUUUGGGAUAACUUCAGGAAACUGGGGCUAAUACCGGAUAGGAGCUCCUGCUGCAUGGUGGGGGUUGGAAAGUUUCGGCGGUUGGGGAUGGACUCGCGGCUUAUCAGCUUGUUGGUGGGGUAGUGGCUUACCAAGGCUUUGACGGGUAGCCGGCCUGGGAGGGUGACCGGCCACAUUGGGACUGAGAUAGGGGCCAGACUCCUAGGGGAGGCAGCAGUGGGGAAUAUUGCACAAUGGGCGGAAGCCUGAUGCAGCAACGCCGCGUGCGGGAUGACGGCCUUCGGGUUGUAAACCGCUUUCGCCUGUGACGAAGCGUGAGUGACGGUAAUGGGUAAAGAAGCACCGGCUAACUACGUG